RNAcentral lists this ribosomal RNA (318 nucleotides) under Arthrobacter agilis. Its description in RNAcentral is "bacterial SSU rRNA". It matches the Rfam family "Bacterial small subunit ribosomal RNA", at positions 15 to 332 of the family's 1533-position model. Lineage: Bacteria; Bacillati; Actinomycetota; Actinomycetes; Micrococcales; Micrococcaceae. The record is from RNAcentral.
GAUCCUGGCUCAGGAUGAACGCUGGCGGCGUGCUUAACACAUGCAAGUCGAACGAUGAUCCCAGCUUGCUGGGGGAUUAGUGGCGAACGGGUGAGUAACACGUGAGUAACCUGCCCUUGACUCUGGGAUAAGCCUGGGAAACCGGGUCUAAUACUGGAUAUGACCUUCUGGCGCAUGCCAUGUUGGUGGAAAGCUUUAUUGCGGUUUUGGAUGGACUCGCGGCCUAUCAGCUUGUUGGUGGGGUAAUGGCCUACCAAGGCGACGACGGGUAGCCGGCCUGAGAGGGUGGACGGCCACACUGGGACUGAGACACGGCCC